UUACGCGACCAAUAAAUACACCAACUAAUUCGUACGAUUUUGUAUUUGUGUUUGAUUAGACUUUCAAGCAUUAUAUUGCAAUUGCACUGGCAUCUACGGCCACCAAGAAUAUAUAUUAUAGUGUACUAGAGGAACGCAUUGAAAGAAAUGUUUUCGAGCAAAUGUUAAAGAUGCAAAGGUACGUGUCCUCCCUUCUGAUGCGAACUGUGGUUUGUUCACAGGAAAUUUCGCCUGUCAGUUGUCAAUUAACGUCCUGCUAGUCAUGGUGCAUCAAGCACUGAUCAACAUGUUCAACAUGUUCGAUUAACUGGUCGCCUAAGAAAGAACUCAGUCCCAAAACGACUAGCGAACACGUGUUGAAGGUUCGUCGUUCCGAUCUAUCGUCUUGUACUACAAUUUACUGCCUAAGAUACUUAUCAACAGACACGGUGUGCCCACGUUCUAUACUGUUUCGCAAAACGCGACAGAAUCAAGCGUCGAGCGUCAAACGUCGAUCAACGUACAUACAUAUGUACAUAGGUACAUACGUGUUCGUCGUUGGCGCGAGAAAGUCCUGUUUGUAACUCUUUACACCUAUACACGUACGAACACACGCCCAAACAGACGGAGUACCACACAACACAGACGCAACACCACACAGAAACCGAGACACGCACACACACAAAAGAUACAUUAUACGCUGUUUAGAGUGUUGUUUGUACUAAUAAUGAAAAUUCUAGUUUAUCGUGGCUAGCGUGGACACGAUUUAAAACCAAAGAUAUAAGUAAAAACCUGUUGAUGGAGUGAAAAUGGAGAACGGAGGGAAAGAGGUCCUCCUCUUCGCAGCGUUGGCGGUGUAAAUAAUGUUCAAGAUUUGAUCGUAUUACAGUUCGAGUCAUAUUGUAGACUGUGUUUGUUACUCUUCGUGUUACGUCAGAUUCAUAAUAUAUUGUUUAAACGAAUGAUGUAUGGAACUUUACAUACGAUAUACAGCAGAUAAGAUAAUAUAUAUAUAUAUAUAUAAAUAUGGAUAUGAACAUAAAGAUACGAUUAAACCAAAAAAAAAAGGAAAGAGAGAAGAAAAUCGAAUGGAUAUAUUGAUUAUACGUAACUUGAAUGUGUAAUUAUUUUAAUAUGUGUAAAUAGCUGCGACAAUAUGCGGUAUCGAAACACAAACACGGCGAAUAUUUAGGGACGAAGGAUAACGACGAUAACAUCUUUGUUCCGGGAGGAGGGGGGAAUGUGAAUUGUACAGUUUCUGCGAUCGAUAUUGCGAACAACUUUAUCGUGUGUGUUGUUUCUGAUCGCGAAGUGAGAAUACGACAAUUAUACUAUAACGUGAUGCGAGACACAAAAGUAUAUCGCGACGAGGAAAGGGGCAAAAAUUAUUAGGACAAUUUCGAUGUACAUGAGACGAUACGCUAGUAAGGUCGAUGAGUUUUAAUUUGUCGAUUAAUAAAAAAUAUUUGUAACGUUCGCUCAGGUAUUUCCAUCGUUCCAUCAUUAUUUUCAGUUCGAUCGAACGAAACGACCAAAAGAAUUAUUUUACCCGGUUGUAAUAAAACGUUUCACCUUUACAUUCUCUGUUUUGUGAACAACGAUACCAAAGACGAACGUGGAAAUGCCCGAUCGAACAGUCGAAUCCAAACUGCAUGCACCAAAGUUUGGCGACUAAUUAAAUUAGGCCUAAUGUAUAAUCUACUGAUCGCACGUAACAAACGCCAGCGAACUUGUAAAAUUGAACUUGAAGUUCCUUUCUUUCAAACGAAGAGAAAUGUUCUUUUAAGAAGAAGAAUCUAACGAAUAAAAGUGUAAGAAGAAGAGCUUUCGUCGCGUGAUUGUGAAACUAAUAAAUCCGAAAACUGUUCAAAUUAUUGAAGCUGGACGAGCGCGUAGCGUUCUAACGAAAGUGAAAGAGAGGUAAGAAUUAUAGAAAAGAUUAUAGUAGACUUUAUAGUUGUAAAUAAACUACCCUCUGUAGCACUUCUAGUCCUUUGAAACACGGAAAGCCUAAAGGAAGAACGAUAGGAAACGGAGGGAAAGAAUUCUGUAUAUUAUAAUUUCGUGUACGAAACGCCCGAGGAUUCUGUAAUUAUACAGAACGAAUGCUUGGACGAAGGAAGAUGAUUUUCAUGUUUGUAAAGUGAAAUACAUUUCUGUACCAAAGAAACCAGCGGACGGUGUAUCCAUGUCAUUGAAUGUUCCAUAAAACGUCCAUAUCCUCCAAAGAGUUGUCCAAUCAGAUGUAAUCGAUAAUCAACAUUCAUCUUCAGGUAAUCAACAAGAG
Molecule: long non-coding RNA, 2266 nt
Organism: Frieseomelitta varia
Lineage: Eukaryota; Metazoa; Arthropoda; Insecta; Hymenoptera; Apidae
Exons: 2
Source: RefSeq, a predicted model, not a curated record